CCUACGGGAGGCAGCAGCGGGGAAUAUUGCACAAUGGGCGCAAGCCUGAUGCAGCCAUGCCGCGUGUGUGAAGAAGGCCUUCGGGUUGUAAAGCACUUUCAGCGGGGAGGAAGGCGGUGAGGUUAAUAACCUCAUCGAUUGACGUUACCCGCAGAAGAAGCACCGGCUAACUCCGUGCCAGCAGCCGCGGUAAUACGGAGGGUGCAAGCGUUAAUCGGAAUUACUGGGCGUAAAGCGCACGCAGGCGGUCUGUCAAGUCGGAUGUGAAAUCCCCGGGCUCAACCUGGGAACUGCAUUCGAAACUGGCAGGCUAGAGUCUUGUAGAGGGGGGUGGAAUUCCAGGUGUAGCGGUGAAAUGCGUAGAGAUCUGGAGGAAUACCGGUGGCGAAGGCGGCCCCCUGGACAAAGACUGACGCUCAGGUGCGAAAGCGUGGGGAGCAAACAGGAUUAGAUACCCUGUAGUC
RNAcentral lists this ribosomal RNA (464 nucleotides) under uncultured Klebsiella sp. RNAcentral's name for it is "bacterial SSU rRNA". It matches the Rfam family "Bacterial small subunit ribosomal RNA", at positions 338 to 795 of the family's 1533-position model. Lineage: Bacteria; Pseudomonadati; Pseudomonadota; Gammaproteobacteria; Enterobacterales; Enterobacteriaceae. The record is from RNAcentral.